UACGGAGGGGGCUAGCGUUGUUCGGAAUUACUGGGCGUAAAGCGCGCGUAGGCGGACCUGCAAGUCGGGGGUGAAAGCCCGAGGCUCAACCUCGGAACUGCCUUCGAUACUGCGGGUCUCGAGUCCGGGAGAGGUGAGUGGAACUGCGAGUGUAGAGGUGAAAUUCGUAGAUAUUCGCAAGAACACCGGUGGCGAAGGCGGGUCUCUGGGCCACUACUGACGCUGAGGAGCGAAAGCGUGGGGAGCGAACAGG
This 253-nucleotide ribosomal RNA is filed under the name uncultured bacterium. RNAcentral describes it as "partial 16S ribosomal RNA". It matches the Rfam family "Bacterial small subunit ribosomal RNA", at positions 524 to 776 of the family's 1533-position model. The record is from RNAcentral.